CAGAGCAGCUACCCUCAGCUCUAGCUCAUACUACAGACAGUACAACAGAUUCACUGGACGAAAGAAAGAUAAAAGGGGUCAUUGAGCUCAGGAAGAGCUUACUGUCUGCCUUGAGAACUUAUGAACCAUAUGGAUCCCUGGUUCAACAAAUACGAAUUCUGCUGCUGGGUCCAAUUGGAGCUGGGAAGUCUAGCUUUUUCAACUCAGUGAGGUCUGUUUUCCAAGGGCAUGUAACGCAUCAGGCUUUGGUGGGCACUAAUACAACUGGGAUAUCUGAGAAGUAUAGGACAUACUCUAUUAGAGACGGGAAAGAUGGCAAAUACCUGCCAUUUAUUCUGUGUGACUCACUGGGGCUGAGUGAGAAAGAAGGCGGCCUGUGCAUGGAUGACAUAUCCUACAUCUUGAACGGUAACAUUCGUGAUAGAUACCAGUUUAAUCCCAUGGAAUCAAUCAAAUUAAAUCAUCAUGACUACAUUGAUUCCCCAUCGCUGAAGGACAGAAUUCAUUGUGUGGCAUUUGUAUUUGAUGCCAGCUCUAUUGAAUACUUCUCCUCUCAGAUGAUAGUAAAGAUCAAAAGAAUUCGAAGGGAGUUGGUAAACGCUGGGAAUCUAAGGGAGGAAAUUAUCAACUGUGCACAAGGAAAAAAAUAGAUAUGUGAAAGGUUCACGUAAAUUUCCUCACAUCACAGAAGAUUAAAAUUCAGAAAGGAGAAAACACAGACCAAAGAGAAGUAACUAAGACCAAAGGGAUGUGUUUUAUUAAUGUCUAGGAUGAAGAAAUGCAUAGAACAUUGUAGUACUUGUAAAUAACUAGAAAUAACAUGAUUUAGUCAUAAUUGUGAAAAAUAAUAAUAAUUUUUCUUGGAUUUAUGUUCUGUAUCUGUGAAAAAAUAAAUUUCUUAUAAAACUCGGGUCUAA
This 917-nucleotide small RNA is filed under the name Pan troglodytes (chimpanzee). RNAcentral describes it as "processed transcript". The record is from RNAcentral. Lineage: Eukaryota; Metazoa; Chordata; Mammalia; Primates; Hominidae.